AUGUCUCCAUUGCAGGGCCCACCCGGUGUCCCUGGGCUGCCGGGACAAGUGGUGAGUGUGUUGCCCCCCACAUCUGCCUGCCAUCCUCUGGCUGUGUGGGUGCUUGGGGCUGCCUGGGGGGGCUGUAGGACCCCCACACCCCACCCCAACUCUCGCUGCCUGCAGGGGGAGAGCGGGAAGCCAGGCGUGCCGGGCAGGGAUGGAGUGCCAGGGAAGGAUGGUGAGGCAGGAGUGCCUGGGAAGAUGGGCUUACCGGGACCUGUGGGGCCUGCUGGUCCCAAGGGAGAGCCAGGGGAUGCUGGAGCCCCAGGGCAGGCCAUCGCUGGGCCCCCUGGAGCCAAGGGAGAGAAGGUAAGGAGCUAGGGUGUGAGGGCUGGGUGUCUGCUGGGCACUGGCAUCCACAGUGGACACAUCUGAGCACCCAUGUGUCCCCUGCAGGGCGAGCCGGCGCUGCUGGAGGGUGUGCUGCUGGGAGAGCCCGUGAGUCACCCCCAUAAACCCA
RNAcentral lists this long non-coding RNA (502 nucleotides) under Cyanistes caeruleus (blue tit). RNAcentral describes it as "lncRNA (ENSCCEG00000021977.1)". Lineage: Eukaryota; Metazoa; Chordata; Aves; Passeriformes; Paridae. The record is from RNAcentral.